UCUCUGUUUUACAGCGAAUUGUAAUCUUGCGUAGUCAUGCUCACCGGGAUACGGCGCACAAGUGACUUCGAACAGUCCGCCAAAGAGGGUGACAGCCCCGUACUGUGCCUUAUCCUAACGAGCAGGCUUACUAAGAGUCGGGUUGUUUGGUAUUGCAGCCCUAAGCGGGAGAUAAACUUCUUCUAAGGCUAAAUAUGUGGGAAACCGAUAGCGAACAAGUACUGUGAAGGAAAGAUGAAAAGCACUUUGGAAAGAGAGUCAAAAGACCUGAAACCGUUGAGGAGGAAGCGGUAGAGAUGAAUUCUAUGCUGAUUUGCUGGGAAAUAGAUCCAAUCUUUUUGGAGUUCGUGAUUUUCAACCUCACUGCUUUAAACUAGAGGAAAUCUAUUACUUGCAAUUCAGUAUGAGGCCGGAUGGGAUUAGAUAGUUGCAAAACACUUUUAGGGCUGCCUUCCUUCGGGAAGUACCCUAUUUGUCCUACAAAUAUCUAGUCUGAGGUGCCUUGUGCGAUCCGGUCAAAAUGGUCUUUACCGACUCGUCUUGAAACACGAACCAAGGAGUCUA
RNAcentral lists this ribosomal RNA (564 nucleotides) under uncultured Strombidium. RNAcentral describes it as "partial large subunit ribosomal RNA". It matches the Rfam family "Eukaryotic large subunit ribosomal RNA", at positions 121 to 677 of the family's 3401-position model. The record is from RNAcentral. Lineage: Eukaryota; Ciliophora; Spirotrichea; Strombidiidae.